This 490-nucleotide ribosomal RNA is filed under the name uncultured bacterium. RNAcentral's name for it is "partial 16S ribosomal RNA". It matches the Rfam family "Bacterial small subunit ribosomal RNA", at positions 29 to 507 of the family's 1533-position model. The record is from RNAcentral.
GUGAACGCUGGCGGUAGGCCUAACACAUGCAAGUCGAACGGCAGCACAGUAAGAGCUUGCUCUUACGGGUGGCGAGUGGCGGACGGGUGAGGAAUACAUCGGAAUCUACUUUUUCGUGGGGGAUAACGUAGGGAAACUUACGCUAAUACCGCAUACGACCUACGGGUGAAAGCAGGGGAUCUUCGGACCUUGCGCGAUUGAAUGAGCCGAUGUCGGAUUAGCUAGUUGGCGGGGUAAAGGCCCACCAAGGCGACGACCCGUAGCUGGUCUGAGAGGAUGAUCAGCCACACUGGAACUGAGACACGGUCCAGACUCCUACGGGAGGCAGCAGUGGGGAAUAUUGGACAAUGGGCGCAAGCCUGAUCCAGCCAUACCGCGUGGGUGAAGAAGGCCUUCGGGUUGUAAAGCCCUUUUGUUGGGAAGGAAAGCAGCAGGUUAAUACCCCGCUGUUCUGACGGUACCCAAAGAAUAAGCACCGGCUAACUUCGUG